Oryctolagus cuniculus (rabbit) is the source of this 2271-nucleotide non-coding RNA. Lineage: Eukaryota; Metazoa; Chordata; Mammalia; Lagomorpha; Leporidae. The record is from RefSeq and is a predicted model, not a curated record.
AAACGGGAUCACGGACAAUGAUGCGGCUGAUGGCGCACGGCAGGACGCAGCUCCUCACCGACCGGAUCCUCGCAGCGCGGGGGAGGGCUGCGUGCGCCAGGCGGACCACGGAGAAGACCGAAGAAGAGAAAGUGUGACGGUGGAUUCCCACGCAGCGCAGGCCUAAUCCCGCGGCGUGGGAGGGAAGCGACCCUGCCAACCGCGCUGAAGUCUCCCCGAAGUCGCCUCACGUUAGGGGAUGUUCCUGUCCGCGUCGGUCGCUGGCAAACAGCAGCGCCUGGAGCCCGACCCCUCGGCCCCGGGGGACAGACGAGGGUCUGUGGCGGUGGCGGCAGCGGGCGAGGGGGUCCUGAGGGCCGCAGGGGUCCACAAGGACCCUCCUAGGACGGCGGGGCUGCAGCGGGGUCCACACUGGGCCUGCUCCGACGGCGGGAGAGGGGCAAGGGCGUUGGACUCGCGUGGAAUCCGCAGAGACUAGGACAGGGAAUGACUAAAACGGAGCGCUAGGCCCCCUGCGUGGCCGCCAUCGCGGGUGAGCGCGCUCCAGCGAUUGGGCGGACGUGUAACGGGUCCCAGUGGACACAGCGUGUGUCCAGCAGCCGCCGGAACUCCGCAGAGCCACAGCGGAUCGCUAGUGAAGACGGCUGGCCAGGGCCAGGGCACCCCGGGUCUCCUCUGGCUCCGAGCCCGAAGAUUCUCUGAGGGGAACGGGUCGGGGGCGAUUCCCUAGGAAGCAACCCCGCAGAGCAGGACCUUGAGCAGCCCGCGGCUCGCCACCCACUUUCUGAGGAGCAAGGCCUUGAGUGAGGGUUCGUUCUGUCCUCCCGGAAGGUUCACAGUGUCGCCCUGAUGCGCAACUGGGGGAGCUGAGUCUGCGCUUAGCCAGGACCCCGGAGACCCCCGAGCAGUCGCUGCUCUGCGCCGCUUCCUCCAUUUCACCACACUCGCCACGAACCGCAGCGGUCCGUCUUUGCGCUAAAGUGAUCAGUGUGUAGAGCUGGCAGGUGACUUUCCACGGGCCUCUCCAUCUUCCUAUGCAGUCUGAGGGCGAGGCAUCCACGACUGGAGAAAAACAGGAGAAUGGAGAUCCCCCCACCCCAAACACACGCACACAGGAGCUGAAGUCAGGCUGGUUACCCCCUGCAGCAAGGAGAAUGGUAAGGUGCUCGUGUGAGCUGCGUUUCAGCCUGAGUGUGCCUGAAAUGCUGUGUAUCUGCUACCAGGAGUCUGGUAAACCAGAUAUUACAUGGAAAGACAACAUUGCUGAGAGCAAAAGAAUGAAGAUGCAGGCAAUAAAAUAAAUUUUCCCAUGUGACACUGAUUCCUGGAGUCACUUGUUUAUUUACUACUUAUUGGGUAUAAAGUUUAUCAGGUUUUAGUAUUGCUGUAUUGUUAACUCUGUAUGAGGUUACUGGAAUACAAAAUUACACAGUAUUUUUUGCUUGUCUAAAAUAGCUGAAAAACUAGUGAUUCACCUGUGAGAAGCCAGUAAGGAAUAACAAUACAAGGAAAACGUGAAUGGUGAACAUGUCAGGCACAUGGCAGAGGCCAGAACAAUGACAUUGUCACCUGAAAAGUUCACAGCAAUGAGGAAAUUAAACAGUGAGCACACGAUCAAAAGCACGCACAUGAACGUCGCAUACAUGAACAGUAGCACACACAUGAACAUUUGUGCACACAUGAUUAGCAGCACACAAAUGAACAUUGCACACAUGAAUGGCAGCACACACAUGAACAUUUGUGCACAUAUGAACAGCAGCGCACAUGUGAACAACAUGUCUACAAACAAUUGUGCAUAUGCACAGCACACAUGAGCAAUAGUGCACAUAUGAACAGCAGCAUGCAUAUGGACACUGUACACUCAUGAGCAGCAAUACUCAUAGGAGCCAUAGUGCACACAUGAAAAUCACAUAUGUGGGGGCCAGCACUGUAGCAUAGCAGGUAAUGCUGCUGCUUGCAGUGUCGGCGUCCCAUAUAGCACCAGUUCGAGUCCCAGCUGCUCCACUUCCAAUCCAGCUCUCUGCUGUGGCCUAGGAAGGCGGUGCAUGAUGGCCCAAGACCUUGAGCCCCUGCACCCAUGUGGGAGACCCAGAAGAAGCUCCUGGCUUCAGAUUGGCACAGUCCCAGCCAUUGCAGCCAUUUGGGGAGUGAACCAGUAGAUGGAAUACUUCUCUCUCUCUGUCUCUUCCUCUCUGUAACUCUGCCUUUUAAAUAAAAUAAAUAAAUCUUUUUUAAAAAAAUCACACAUGUCACUGUUUCUCAGUGACUUGA